Molecule: ribosomal RNA, 253 nt
Filed under: uncultured bacterium
Lineage: Bacteria
Description: partial 16S ribosomal RNA
Rfam family: Bacterial small subunit ribosomal RNA
Source: RNAcentral
UACAGAGGGGGCAAGCGUUGUUCGGAAUUACUGGGCGUAAAGGGCGCGUAGGUGGCCUUCUAAGUUGAACGUGAAAUCCCUGGGCUCAACCCAGGAACUGCGUCCAAGACUGGGAGGCUUGAAUCCGGGAGAGGGAUGCGGAAUUCCAGGUGUAGCGGUGAAAUGCGUAGAUAUCUGGAGGAACACCGGUGGCGAAGGCGGCAUCCUGGACCGGUAUUGGCACUGAGGCGCGAAAGCCAGGGGAGCAAACGGG